AACUUUCAACAACGGAUCUCUUGGCUCUCACAUCGAUGAAGAACGCAGCGAAAUGCGAUAAGUAAUGUGAAUUGCAGAAUUCAGUGAAUCAUCGAAUCUUUGAACGCACCUUGCACCUUUUGGUAUUCCGAAAGGUAUGCCUGUUUGAGUGUC
This 153-nucleotide ribosomal RNA is filed under the name uncultured fungus. RNAcentral's name for it is "5.8S ribosomal RNA". It matches the Rfam family "5.8S ribosomal RNA". From Rfam's summary of the family: 5.8S ribosomal RNA (5.8S rRNA) is a component of the large subunit of the eukaryotic ribosome. Lineage: Eukaryota; Fungi. The record is from RNAcentral.